This is an unclassified non-coding RNA of Callithrix jacchus (white-tufted-ear marmoset), 300 nucleotides long. It matches the Rfam family "Metazoan signal recognition particle RNA". Rfam says of the family: The signal recognition particle (SRP) is a universally conserved ribonucleoprotein. It is involved in the co-translational targeting of proteins to membranes. The eukaryotic SRP consists of a 300-nucleotide 7S RNA and six proteins: SRPs 72, 68, 54, 19, 14, and 9. The record is from Ensembl. Lineage: Eukaryota; Metazoa; Chordata; Mammalia; Primates; Cebidae.
GCUGGGCGCAGUGGUGUGUGCCUGCAGUCCCAGCUACUUGGGAGGCUGAGGUGGGACGAUUGCUUGAGCCCAGGAGUUCUGGGCUGUAGUGCACUAUGCUGAUCAGGUGUCCACACCAAGUUCCGCAUCAAUAUGGUGACCUCCCAGGAGCAGGGGAACACCAGGUUGCCUCAGGAGGGGUGAACCAACCCAGGCUGGAAACGGAGCAGGUCAAAAUUCCCAUGCUCAUCAGUAGUGGAAUUGCGCCUGUGAAUAGCCACUGCCCUCCAGCCUGGGCAACAUGGUGAAACCUUGUUUCUA